ACUAAGACCAUUCACUAUGGAGGCUGAGGAUGACUUCCCAGAACUUGUUUUCAGUCCUUCUGAAUAAACCAUUCAGUUCCCAGAAGCCUUCAUCUGACACCCUAUGGGAUCACCACAUCUUACAGGAAAUUGUAUGAAGGUAUAGCGAAAAGGAAAAGUGAGAGAGGGCAUUUUAAUCAGCUUGAUUUUCCCAGUUCUAACAGGUCCCCAUUACAGAGCAAAAAGACAAAGUAGGCAGUGGAUUAGACAAGAACACAACAGUUGCCAUGAAUUACAUCCAUGUUUCAUCUUGUCCUUUUAACUAAAUUGGUGAUGUGAAUUACUUUGUAAACAAUGUGGACAUUUUCUUCAGUAACAAUAAUUUCAGAGUAAAUGAGCCCUGGUUGAAUAGAAGCACAGCCAACCAUUUCACCACAAGGUGUACAAUCCCUGGGCUGACACUCUUAUAAUGGGAGAAAUAAUCUGGGAGUGAGAAAAGUUGCCCAGCCAACAACCACAAUGACAACCAACCUUGGCAGCUGAGAACACUUCAAAUAGAAAAUGUCUUUGAUCAAGAUAUUUCAACAGACUGCUGAAAAUGGAAAAUAUCUGUGCCAUUUCUUCUGAUGUUGAAGACUAAACAGAGAAAACCAGAACUAGCGCCUCUAGAAAUGGAACUGGAAUCACUCUACUUAUGGGGACCCGCCACUGACCAUCUCACAAUCUCUGCAUCCUUCGCUUCCUUUUGGAAUGACCACAGCCCUCACCAGUGGGGACUGGACAUUACUUUAUCAGAUGCAUCUCUGUGAAAGGGGGAGGAGCAUUACAGAGCUGUGAAUGGGUGCGAUUUUCCCUGCCCCCACUUACAAGUGGCCAGACUGGACUACAAUUCCCACGAUGAAUUGGGAGCGUGAAGUGGAUAUAUACAUGGAGGAGGAACCAAGGAGAGACACGUGGAGAGGCUACUCCUAGGACAUUAGUGUUUUGGCAGAGACAAUGGCGGCUAUUAUCUUGAUCAAAAGAAGGUACCUGAAACUUGUGGCGAGCUUUCAGCCUUUGGGGCAAGCCUGUUUGGCUGGGCAUUUGCCCAUGAGGGGACAGGUAAUUUUUGGAGUUUGAUUAGGAAUCUGUUAUUUAUAAUCCUUUCUUCUCUAUGUACACCAGUUAAAAAU
This is a long non-coding RNA of Talpa occidentalis (Iberian mole), 1151 nucleotides long. RefSeq lists it as uncharacterized. NCBI's taxonomy places the organism in Eukaryota, Metazoa, Chordata, Mammalia, Eulipotyphla, Talpidae. The record is from RefSeq and is a predicted model, not a curated record. The transcript is spliced from 9 exons.